RNAcentral lists this long non-coding RNA (1208 nucleotides) under Homo sapiens (human). RNAcentral's name for it is "HSALNT0409458". Lineage: Eukaryota; Metazoa; Chordata; Mammalia; Primates; Hominidae. The record is from RNAcentral.
AGGAAAGCGGCGGCGGUGGCGGCUUCAACAGCAGCUCUUGCCCUUAAGGAACAAUGAAACACAAAGAUGGUGCAGACCCAGGCCCUGCUUUGACUGGGAGAAAGAUGCAUUCAGUUGACUAAAACUUGAACAGGGCAGUUUACUUCUAUAGAAGGGUGCACCCUCACAGAUGGACCAAUGUGUCAGGAGAAUUCAGUCACACCCAAAGCAGGAGGUAAUAAGACACCGAAGUGAGGACUUCACAGGCUGCUUGGGAGAAGACAAUCAUCCGUGGGCUUGGGAAAGGGAGAAAUGCCUACUGAGUUUAGGGAAUUGCUUGCUGGAAGAAAUGAUGAUGCGGGAGGCCAGAUGCGCAAGAUGGACACUCGGCUCCUCCUUCGUCCCCGCCUCUCCUCGCUUCCAGGGUAGCAGCCUCAACAAGGGAAACUAUUGUUCCAGUGGAGGCUGCGAGGAUGUCGGUGAUUUACGCGCCGAGCUGUAGCUGCAAAAGGACAAGGGCAAGUGCCGGCCCGACCUAGGGCCCACCGGUCUCUGGCUUGCUCUUGUGAGUAGGUGCACCCUGCCCGCUUGUGGUGGCCUCAGGGGUAAGAAAUCAGGACCCACCCAGUGAGAGAAAUAACCCAAGCUGUCAGCAACGCGGAAAGAAAUGGGCUAGCAACCUCUUAAAGCAUCCUCACGUACUGCGGCGAUGACUCUGUGCACAGACCAAGGAAGGAGAGAGGCCGCGGAAGUCAGCCACAGCAUGUUCCGAAGAGAUGAUUGGAAGAUGGAAGUGGAGGGUUAAAUAAUGAAAUGCAGCUAACAUUUCGGAAAGUUUCUAAAAGUUGUACAACAUGCCCUACAGCUACUCUUUAAAUCUCCAAAUCAAAUGAGUUUCAGGUGGAGCCUCUGGGAGGUGAUGAGGUCAUGAGAGUGGAGCCUCAUGAAUGGGAUGAGCACUCCUACAAAAAGGAUUCCAGAGAGCUCGCUUGCUCCUUCCACAGUGUGAGGACACAGAGGGAAGGCUCUGUCUAUGAAUGAGAAAGUGGGUCCCCACCAGACAUUGAAUCUGCCGCAUCUUGAUACUGGACUUCCAGUCUCCAGAACUGUGGGCAAUAAAUGUCUGUUGUUUAUUACCUGUCCAGUAUCUUUGGUAUUUUGCUAUAGCAACCCAAAUGGACUAAGAAAACACCAGAGGCCAUACCUAAUAAAAAUAUUGACAUCACAAU